Molecule: transfer RNA, 77 nt
Filed under: Ruegeria phage vB_RpoS-V10
Lineage: Duplodnaviria; Heunggongvirae; Uroviricota; Caudoviricetes
Description: tRNA-Glu
Rfam family: tRNA
About the family: Transfer RNA (tRNA) molecules are approximately 80 nucleotides in length. Their secondary structure includes four short double-helical elements and three loops (D, anti-codon, and T loops).
Source: RNAcentral
GGAGCAUUGGACUUCUUGGUGAAGGUCGCCGCGUUCUCAACGCGGAGAAGCGGGUUCGAAACCCGCAUGCUCUACCA